RNAcentral lists this transfer RNA (87 nucleotides) under Bacillota bacterium. Its description in RNAcentral is "Firmicutes bacterium (anaerobic digester metagenome) tRNA-Leu". It matches the Rfam family "tRNA". From Rfam's summary of the family: Transfer RNA (tRNA) molecules are approximately 80 nucleotides in length. Their secondary structure includes four short double-helical elements and three loops (D, anti-codon, and T loops). Lineage: Bacteria; Bacillati; Bacillota. The record is from RNAcentral.
GCGAGCGUGGCGGAAUCGGCAGACGCGCUAGGUUCAGGACCUAGUGGGCGCAAGCCCGUGGGGGUUCAAAUCCCUUCGCUCGCACCA